GGCCUACGGGGGGCAGCAGUGAGGGAUAUUGGUCAAUGGGGGAAACCCUGAACCAGCAACGCCGCGUGAGGGAACACGGUUUUCGGAUUGUAAACCUCUGUCCUCUGUGAAGAUAAUGACGGUAGCAGAGGAGGAAGCUCCGGCUAACUACGUGCCGGCAGCCGCGGUAAUACGUAGGGAGCGAGCGUUGUCCGGAUUUACUGGGUGUAAAGGGUGCGUAGGCGGGAAAGCAAGUCAGAAGUGAAAUCCAUGUGCUUAACCCAUGAGCUGCUUUUGACACUGUUUAUCUUUAGUG
Molecule: ribosomal RNA, 295 nt
Filed under: uncultured bacterium
Lineage: Bacteria
Description: partial 16S ribosomal RNA
Rfam family: Bacterial small subunit ribosomal RNA
Source: RNAcentral